This is a long non-coding RNA of Asterias rubens (European starfish), 361 nucleotides long. RefSeq lists it as uncharacterized. The transcript is spliced from 3 exons. The record is from RefSeq and is a predicted model, not a curated record. NCBI's taxonomy places the organism in Eukaryota, Metazoa, Echinodermata, Asteroidea, Forcipulatida, Asteriidae.
UGAUCAUCGAAACACCAUUGCUAGCAGUAAGGAAUAGGGCCUUCACUAUCUGGACAAGCUCACCAUUGAUCUGCUAUCAUUAUGGACAAGUGCGUUCCACAGGCGUUUGUAAUUGGAAAAUACCUUCAUGCAGCCGAAAAGGGUGACCUAGUGGAAAUAAAACGACUUAUGCGGAAUCGUAAAGAUUCAUGUCUUGACAUAGAUUCUACGGACGCUAGCGGGCGCUCUGCCCUGUACUUAGCCAUUCAGGGUGGACAUUUAGCUGUUCUUUAUUCACUCAUUGAGAAUGGAGUCAAGAUAAAGGACAACCUCUUGCGAGCUGUUGAAUUCAAUUUUCCAGAGGCGGUCAAAUUGCUCUGUG